Molecule: ribosomal RNA, 2572 nt
Filed under: Escherichia coli
Lineage: Bacteria; Pseudomonadati; Pseudomonadota; Gammaproteobacteria; Enterobacterales; Enterobacteriaceae
Description: partial 23S ribosomal RNA
Rfam family: Bacterial large subunit ribosomal RNA
Source: RNAcentral
GGGAAACCCAGUGUGUUUCGACACACUAUCAUUAACUGAAUCCAUAGGUUAAUGAGGCGAACCGGGGGAACUGAAACAUCUAAGUACCCCGAGGAAAAGAAAUCAACCGAGAUUCCCCCAGUAGCGGCGAGCGAACGGGGAGCAGCCCAGAGCCUGAAUCAGUAUGUGUGUUAGUGGAAGCGUCUGGAAAGGCGCGCGAUACAGGGUGACAGCCCCGUACACAAAAAUGCACAUGCUGUGAGCUCGAUGAGUAGGGCGGGACACGUGGUAUCCUGUCUGAAUAUGGGGGGACCAUCCUCCAAGGCUAAAUACUCCUGACUGACCGAUAGUGAACCAGUACCGUGAGGGAAAGGCGAAAAGAACCCCGGCGAGGGGAGUGAAAAAGAACCUGAAACCGUGUACGUACAAGCAGUGGGAGCACGCUUAGGCGUGUGACUGCGUACCUUUUGUAUAAUGGGUCAGCGACUUAUAUUCUGUAGCAAGGUUAACCGAAUAGGGGAGCCGAAGGGAAACCGAGUCUUAACUGGGCGUUAAGUUGCAGGGUAUAGACCCGAAACCCGGUGAUCUAGCCAUGGGCAGGUUGAAGGUUGGGUAACACUAACUGGAGGACCGAACCGACUAAUGUUGAAAAAUUAGCGGAUGACUUGUGGCUGGGGGUGAAAGGCCAAUCAAACCGGGAGAUAGCUGGUUCUCCCCGAAAGCUAUUUAGGUAGCGCCUCGUGAAUUCAUCUCCGGGGGUAGAGCACUGUUUCGGCAAGGGGGUCAUCCCGACUUACCAACCCGAUGCAAACUGCGAAUACCGGAGAAUGUUAUCACGGGAGACACACGGCGGGUGCUAACGUCCGUCGUGAAGAGGGAAACAACCCAGACCGCCAGCUAAGGUCCCAAAGUCAUGGUUAAGUGGGAAACGAUGUGGGAAGGCCCAGACAGCCAGGAUGUUGGCUUAGAAGCAGCCAUCAUUUAAAGAAAGCGUAAUAGCUCACUGGUCGAGUCGGCCUGCGCGGAAGAUGUAACGGGGCUAAACCAUGCACCGAAGCUGCGGCAGCGACGCUGAUGCGUUGUUGGGUAGGGGAGCGUUCUGUAAGCCUGCGAAGGUGUGCUGUGAGGCAUGCUGGAGGUAUCAGAAGUGCGAAUGCUGACAUAAGUAACGAUAAAGCGGGUGAAAAGCCCGCUCGCCGGAAGACCAAGGGUUCCUGUCCAACGUUAAUCGGGGCAGGGUGAGUCGACCCCUAAGGCGAGGCCGAAAGGCGUAGUCGAUGGGAAACAGGUUAAUAUUCCUGUACUUGGUGUUACUGCGAAGGGGGGACGGAGAAGGCUAUGUUGGCCGGGCGACGGUUGUCCCGGUUUAAGCGUGUAGGCUGGUUUUCCAGGCAAAUCCGGAAAAUCAAGGCUGAGGCGUGAUGACGAGGCACUACGGUGCUGAAGCAACAAAUGCCCUGCUUCCAGGAAAAGCCUCUAAGCAUCAGGUAACAUCAAAUCGUACCCCAAACCGACACAGGUGGUCAGGUAGAGAAUACCAAGGCGCUUGAGAGAACUCGGGUGAAGGAACUAGGCAAAAUGGUGCCGUAACUUCGGGAGAAGGCACGCUGAUAUGUAGGUGAAGUCCCUCGCGGAUGGAGCUGAAAUCAGUCGAAGAUACCAGCUGGCUGCAACUGUUUAUUAAAAACACAGCACUGUGCAAACACGAAAGUGGACGUAUACGGUGUGACGCCUGCCCGGUGCCGGAAGGUUAAUUGAUGGGGUUAGCGCAAGCGAAGCUCUUGAUCGAAGCCCCGGUAAACGGCGGCCGUAACUAUAACGGUCCUAAGGUAGCGAAAUUCCUUGUCGGGUAAGUUCCGACCUGCACGAAUGGCGUAAUGAUGGCCAGGCUGUCUCCACCCGAGACUCAGUGAAAUUGAACUCGCUGUGAAGAUGCAGUGUACCCGCGGCAAGACGGAAAGACCCCGUGAACCUUUACUAUAGCUUGACACUGAACAUUGAGCCUUGAUGUGUAGGAUAGGUGGGAGGCUUUGAAGUGUGGACGCCAGUCUGCAUGGAGCCGACCUUGAAAUACCACCCUUUAAUGUUUGAUGUUCUAACGUUGACCCGUAAUCCGGGUUGCGGACAGUGUCUGGUGGGUAGUUUGACUGGGGCGGUCUCCUCCUAAAGAGUAACGGAGGAGCACGAAGGUUGGCUAAUCCUGGUCGGACAUCAGGAGGUUAGUGCAAUGGCAUAAGCCAGCUUGACUGCGAGCGUGACGGCGCGAGCAGGUGCGAAAGCAGGUCAUAGUGAUCCGGUGGUUCUGAAUGGAAGGGCCAUCGCUCAACGGAUAAAAGGUACUCCGGGGAUAACAGGCUGAUACCGCCCAAGAGUUCAUAUCGACGGCGGUGUUUGGCACCUCGAUGUCGGCUCAUCACAUCCUGGGGCUGAAGUAGGUCCCAAGGGUAUGGCUGUUCGCCAUUUAAAGUGGUACGCGAGCUGGGUUUAGAACGUCGUGAGACAGUUCGGUCCCUAUCUGCCGUGGGCGCUGGAGAACUGAGGGGGGCUGCUCCUAGUACGAGAGGACCGGAGUGGACGCAUCACUGGUGUUCGG